This 492-nucleotide ribosomal RNA is filed under the name uncultured bacterium. RNAcentral describes it as "partial 16S ribosomal RNA". It matches the Rfam family "Bacterial small subunit ribosomal RNA", at positions 29 to 507 of the family's 1533-position model. The record is from RNAcentral.
AGUGAACGCUGGCGGUAGGCCUAACACAUGCAAGUCGAACGGCAGCACAGUAAGAGCUUGCUCUUACGGGUGGCGAGUGGCGGACGGGUGAGGAAUACAUCGGAAUCUACUUUUUCGUGGGGGGUAACGUAGGGAAACUUACGCUAAUACCGCAUACGACCUACGGGUGAAAGCAGGGGAUCUUCGGACCUUGCGCGAUUGAAUGAGCCGAUGUCGGAUUAGCUAGUUGGCGGGGUAAAGGCCCACCAAGGCGACGAUCCGUAGCUGGCCUGAGAGGAUGAUCAGCCACACUGGAACUGAGACACGGUCCAGACUCCUACGGGAGGCAGCAGUGGGGAAUAUUGGACAAAGGGCGCAAGCCUGAUCCAGCCAUACCGCGUGGGUGAAGAAGGCCUUCGGGUUGUAAAGCCCUUUUGUUGGGAAAGAAAAGCAGCAGGUUAAUACCCCGCUGUUCUGACGGUACCCAAAGAAUAAGCACCGGCUAACUUCGUG